CAUAUGGAUUCCUACGGGAGGCAGCAGUGGGGAAUAUUGGACAAUGGGCGCAAGCCUGAUCCAGCCAUGCCGCGUGAGUGAAGAAGGCCCUCGGGUUGUAAAGCUCUUUUGUACGGGAAGAAACACGGCCGGUUAAUACCCGGCUGGACUGACGGUACCGUAAGAAUAAGCACCGGCUAACUUCGUGCCAGCAGCCGCGGUAAUACGAAGGGUGCAAGCGUUACUCGGAAUUACUGGGCGUAAAGCGUGCGUAGGUGGUGCGUUAAGUCCGAUGUGAAAGCCCUGGGCUCAACCUGGGAAUGGCAUUGGAUACUGGCGUGCUCGAGUACGGUAGAGGGUGGCGGAAUUCCCGGUGUAGCAGUGAAAUGCGUAGAGAUCGGGAGGAACAUCCGUGGCGAAGGCGGCCACCUGGACCAGUACUGACACUGAGGCACGAAAGCGUGGGGAGCAAACAGGAUUAGAUACCCUGGUAGUCCACGCCCUAAACGAUGCGAACUGGAGGUUGGGUGCACUUAGGCGCUCAGUCUCGAAGCUAACGCGUUAAGUUCGCCGCCUGGGGAGUACGGUCGCAAGACUGAAACUCAAAGGAAUUGACGGGGGCCCGCACAAGCGGUGGAGUAUGUGGUUUAAUUCGAUGCAACGCGCAGAACCUUACCUGGCCUUGACAUCCACGGAACUUUCCAGAGAUGG
This 690-nucleotide ribosomal RNA is filed under the name uncultured Gammaproteobacteria bacterium. RNAcentral's name for it is "bacterial SSU rRNA". It matches the Rfam family "Bacterial small subunit ribosomal RNA", at positions 328 to 1009 of the family's 1533-position model. Lineage: Bacteria; Pseudomonadati; Pseudomonadota; Gammaproteobacteria. The record is from RNAcentral.